GUUAAGUUUUAUUCUUGCUUUUUCGUUCAGUUUUGGUUUGUUUUAUAUGUAAGUUUUUGCAUGUGUCUUUCUCUUUCUCUAGAUGGGGUUGGUAUUUGAUUUAGGUUGAUUAAUUCUCAUUAGUUAUUAUUGGAUGUUCAAGUAUACUUGUAUUUAGCAAUUCUUUCUAGCCUCGGUUAAAUUUUGUGCCAGCAGCCGCGGUUAUACCUUGGAGGCAUUUGAAUGUGUUUGGUGUUGUAGUUAUAUGUUUAUUUUGAUUGGUUUUAUUUUGAUUAAUUUAUUAGGUGAAAUUUUUAUUAUUAUUUUAUUCCUUUUGAUUGUUUGGAGGCUAUGAAAUUCCUUUUAUAGACUAGGAUUAGAUACCCUAUUAUUUUGGGAUGUUAAUUUUUGUGCCUGAGUAGUAUUAGUUAUGUUCUUGAAACUUAAAGAAUUUGGCGGUAUCUUAUUCCAUCCAGAGGAAUCUGCCCCGUUAUCGAUAGUCCGCGCUGGACCUUACUUAGUUGCUUUGGUUUGUAUACCGCCGUUUAUUGAUUAUCUUUUUAGAGUUUUAAUUUUCUAGUUUCUUCAUUUUGAUUUAUUUCAGGUCAAGGUGCAGCUUGUUUCUAAGUGGGAUGGUGGAUUACAUUGGUAUUUGUUUAUUGGAUUAUUGAUUUUAAUAUUGGUAUGAAAUUGGAUUUGGUUGUAAUGUUUUGUAGAUUGUUUUCGUGAUAAUUGGUUCUGGGAUAUGUACACAUCGCCCGUCGCUCUCGUUUUUUGUUAAUGAGAUAAGUCGUAACAAAGUGGUUGUACCGGAAGGUGCAGCUGGAUUGAU
RNAcentral lists this non-coding RNA (811 nucleotides) under Anoplotermes group nr. E1 TB-2014. Lineage: Eukaryota; Metazoa; Arthropoda; Insecta; Blattodea; Termitidae. The record is from RNAcentral.